RNAcentral lists this unclassified non-coding RNA (388 nucleotides) under Hevea brasiliensis (rubber tree). Lineage: Eukaryota; Viridiplantae; Streptophyta; Magnoliopsida; Malpighiales; Euphorbiaceae. The record is from RNAcentral.
CAACUCAGCAAUCAAUCACCUCUCCCAGAAAAUGGAUCUGACGGUGUUGAUUUGUUAACAUCAUAUAUGAGUGAUGCUGAAAUCAUGGGAUCUAAACCAGACGACAAAUUUCUAAGAGAUACCAUUAUAAAUUUGCUGCUUGCAGGGAGAGACACCACAAGUUCUGCUCUCACAUGGUUCUUAUGGCUGGUUUCCAAGAAUCCUCAAGUAGAAAGCAAGAUCAGAGAGGAGCUCAAAGAAAUUAUACCGACAGACGAAGCAGAAAAUUGGCGAAUAUUCAAUCCACAGGAGCUAAACAGGCUAGUUUAUCUUCAUGGUGCACUCUGUGAAUCAUUAAGGCUCUACCCACCAGUUCCAUUCCAGCACAAGGCCCCUCUCCAGGAAGAUG